UACGUAGGGUGCAAGCGUUAAUCGGAAUUACUGGGCGUAAAGCGUGCGCAGGCGGUGAUGUAAGACAGUUGUGAAAUCCCCGGGCUCAACCUGGGAACUGCAUCUGUGACUGCAACGCUGGAGUGCGGCAGAGGGGGAUGGAAUUCCGCGUGUAGCAGUGAAAUGCGUAGAUAUGCGGAGGAACACCGAUGGCGAAGGCAAUCCCCUGGGCCUGCACUGACGCUCAGGCACGAAAGCGUGGGGAGCAAACAGG
This 253-nucleotide ribosomal RNA is filed under the name uncultured bacterium. RNAcentral's name for it is "partial 16S ribosomal RNA". It matches the Rfam family "Bacterial small subunit ribosomal RNA", at positions 524 to 776 of the family's 1533-position model. The record is from RNAcentral.